Molecule: long non-coding RNA, 3651 nt
Organism: Balaenoptera acutorostrata (minke whale)
Lineage: Eukaryota; Metazoa; Chordata; Mammalia; Artiodactyla; Balaenopteridae
Exons: 5
Source: RefSeq, a predicted model, not a curated record
UUAUAUAUCUGUGAUGGGAGGUGAGGGUUCUACUUGGGGUGUAAGUGGAUUGUGUGCACAAAUUCAUAGGAAAAGGUAUGGGAUGUGCUGGAACUGGUUCAUACUAUCCUGGGAUAGUCAAUGGUGCAUAUCUCUUCCCAGCUCUGUGUUCAGUGAUUUCAGGUGGGUAGCUUGAAACUGGUCAUGCUGGGAAUAUUUAUACCACGUAGAUAGCAUAGGUGAAGUCUUUCCCACCUUUCUAGAAGAGUUUUUUAGCACUUACCAGCACACCACUGAUGUGCGUGUUUGGAUGUAUGUAUGUAUGAAGCAAGAAUAUUUGGGCAUCGGUGGGUACGCAUGGGACACCCAUGUGAAUUGUGAGUGGGGCAUCUGGGGCUAUGGGCCCCUGUAUAUGUGCAUUGACCCUGGUAAUUGUGAAUCAUUGCAUUGCUCCUAUCAGGUUGGUCUGUUCUUUAGGGCCAAAGAAUCCCCACAAAUGUUGUAGAUUCCCAGUAGAAAUCAUGCAGAUGGAUACAGGGGUGUCUGUACCUUAGGCAGGUGGACACUCCUUCAGCAUUUGUGUGGUCCUAGCAUCUGGGUCCCUAGAAGGGGGGGGGCCUGGUGGACAGAUGGCCAUGCAGAGCAGAACCUUCACAGGUGUGUUGUUGGCGUGACAGGCAGCAGUCAGAAAGUCACGGGGCUUCCUGGAUAGGAGGUCAGAUGACCAAGGGCUCUCCCAGGAAAAUACCCUGAGAAUCAGUUGGACAGCUGCAGGCGUUACUGGCUCUUCUGGGGCACAGCUGACGUGCAAGGACACCCUCCACAUGGGGUCCAGAGCCACGUGUCCCUGAGCCCAACUGCCCCAGGGUGGUGGGAACUGUUGCGUAUCAGGCUGGUCAACUGUAUCACUAGGUCUCAACCAACCUGUCUCCAUGGAAAUCUAAGUCCUCAGGGAUAGGCAGGACCUCUAGGGAUCAGUGAGCUGACAAGGACAGAGGUGAGGAGGCUUUGUCCCUGAGGGAGAGUUGGGGACUGAGACCUGGAGAGCCUAGGGAGUCCCACUCUGAGGAGAUAUGGCUCUGAUGUUCCCAAACCCUUUAGACAUGUUCUCUGUUCUUUUCUGAAGGCUCAAGAUGCUUCUAGCAGUGGGAAGCUUAGCUCAGUUUCAUGUUGCUCUGAUAGGAUGAACUGACCCUUUUAUUCACUAUUCCACAUCGAGCUGCAAACCCAUCAGAUGGAACCAUGUGAUCAUUGUGGCCGCCAGCUGACCCCACAGCCACCUUGUGCCUCCCUUGGACCCACCCAGGAAUUUCUGAGCCUUCUUUAUGGGAUGGGGAGGAUCUAAGUUGCUUGUCUGAGGUCACACCGCCGGAAGGGAAGGCUCUAAGAGUCCCAAGUUUCUCUUCCUCGCCCCUCUUGCUUCCUGCCCCUGGAAUGUGGGCUCCCCCCAGACGGAGCAAAGUACCUGUCAAGCAGCAUCAAAUAUCCAGUGCAAUCAAGACAACUUCUAUGAUAUGAAAGCAAGUCCUCGGGGCCAAGGCCCAUGGUCCUGCUAACUCCCUGGGAAAGAGGCCUCGAACAUCACUCGUGAUAUCAGAGAGAGCCAAGGACACACACAGGGAACGUUGCCCUGGGCAGUGGCCACUUCAUGCUUCAUGGUGUGUGACCAGUGUGAGAACGCAAGGCCGUAGGAGGGCCCCAUGCUUGGCUAAAUACUCUGCCACCACCAUCUUGAAAUUCUUGAUAAUUAUUGAACAAGGGCCCUGUAUUUUCAUUUUACACCCAGCCCUGUAAAUGAUGUAGCUGGUCCUGCUUCUGGGAAAGUUGCUUGGUCACCUUCUCCCUACCUUCCCUGUCCCCAGUCUCAGGACUUUGUGCAGGGCCAGGGCUGCACACAGUCACUAUAAGAGAUGCUUUUCCGACCACCGUUUGGAACCAAAACAAAACCAACAAAAGCCCCAGAUCCAUGCAAUUAGCCAAUAUCUCCUCACCAAGACAAAGCCCCUCUGCCUGGAAAGAUGCUGCUACUGGCUUGAGACUCCUUUUCCCCCUGAACAUCCUACCCUCCAAGGUCUUGCUGCCAUUUUGAUGUGACACAGGUCAAAUGACCAGGGGCUUUUUUCCCCUCUGCAUUUUCCUGCAUAGAUUUGCACCUGUUUCUGUGGCUAAUGUUACUGUUGGGUUUCUGUUUUCCCAUCUCUGUCCUCUCAUCCCUGCUCACACACUGCACACACAAUCAUAAAUUAUAUUCCAGGCAGGCCAGGAAUCUCUCCUCACACACAUCCCUAAUAAAAUGUUUAUCUGAUGGUUUCUAGACCAUAAGCUGCCUCCAGCCAAUUUUUGCUAACAUAUGUCACCCCUGGGACUAGCCAGAGGUGGGAAGUCAAACGUUAGCAUCAACACAUCCUUUAGAAGGUCCCUAAGAGGGCUACAUGCUCCAGGGCUAUUCCUGGAAAGUAGGUCACAACCUGUGGGAUGGCCAGACAUUCCCCCCAGUCCCAGGAAGGGGAGGAUGAGGUCAGAGAACUUGCGAUGUCGUGACCCUUUGAUAUGCCUCUCACAAGGACAAACUCUCCUCGAAGGAAGGUUAUACAUAACUGAGUGUUUCUGUCCAGGUGGUACUUAUAAUAACCAAAGGAAUUAAUGCAGAUUAGUUUUCUUUGGUGUCUGGGUGUGGUAGGCAUGAUGUCCCAAAGAUGUCCACGUCCUAGUCCCUGGUACCUGUGAAUAUGUUACAUUACAUGGCAAAGGGGAAGUAAGGUUACAGAUGGAAUUAAGGUUGCUAAUCAGCUGACUUCAAAGAUGAGAUUAUCCCGAAUUGUCCAAGUGGGACCAAUGUAACCACAAGGGUCCUUAAAAGUGGAAGAGAAUCAGAAGAGGAGGUCAGAGUGAUGCUAUGUGAGAAGGACUUGACCUGUAGGUCGAAGAUAGAACCUGGUUUUGAAGACAGAACAAGGGGCCAUGAGCCAAGAAAUGCAGGCAGCCUCCAGAAGCUGGAAAAGGCAAGGGAACAGAUUCUCCCCUAGAGCCUCCAGAAAGGAAUGUCGCCCUGUUGACACCUUGAUUUUAACCCAGUGAGAACUGUGUCGGACUUCUAACCUAUGGAACUCCUCAGGAAUGGUUUGAGUGGCACCGACCCUGGGCUGCUGGGAGCCUAGACACCGUCCACAACAUCACGGGCAAUGACCUGUGAGCUAGGAGUACCACCUGGAUUAGCGAGACUCUAGGGCAAAACAAAUGCUUUCAGGGACACUCCAGUGACUCACAGGCUGAGAAUAGAGACGAUCUUCAUUGUAACCAUCUGCAAAAGCUUCUUAUGAAUGUAUUUAUUAGAGGAGGGAACCGACAAACUACUCCAGGAAAGGGCAGGGCUUCGCUGGUUGCGCAAUGGUUGGGAAGCCGCCUGCCAAUGCAGGAGACACGGGUUCGAGCCCUGGUCCAGGAGGAUCCCACAUGCCGCAGAGCAACCAAGCCCGUGCGCCACAACUACUGAGGCUCGCGCGCCUAGAGCCCGUGCUCCGCAACAAGAGAAGCCACCGAAGUGAGAAGCCCACGCACCGCAAUGAAGAGUAGCCCUGGCUCUCCGCAUCUAGAGAAAGCCCGCGUGCAGCAGCGAAAAGCCAACGCAGCCAAAAAUGAAUAAAUAAAUUUAUUUUUUUUUAAAAAAGAGUA